Molecule: ribosomal RNA, 128 nt
Filed under: Proboscia sp.
Lineage: Eukaryota; Bacillariophyta; Melosirophyceae; Probosciales; Probosciaceae
Source: RNAcentral
GGCUUUGGUGUUUCUAGUGUACUCAAUGGAACCACGCUGAACCAUCUCGAACUCAGUAGUGAAACGUUAUAAACCGACGAAAAUACUUAAAGGGGAACUUUUAGGAAAAAUAGUUCAAUGCCAAAGUU